ACGGGUUCCCACAGUGCAGUAGUGGGCUGAAGGUAUCCUCAAAUGCCGCCAAAGUGGGAGCCCAGGCAGAGGAGGUGCCAAGAGCAAGCGAGGGCUCUGAGGACUGCCAGCACGCUGUCACCUCUCAAUAAUGUUUUCUCCUACUGAGGAUAUGAGGUCAAGGGUUCAAGAAGCAGGGUUGUCUAUUCAUAGCUUUAUCAUAGAAUACUGAAAAUACAGCGACUCUGGAUGGAAGAAAGAAGAAUGCCCUGCUGUCUCACAUUCAGUGAAUUUUGUUCUAACAAGAUCUGUACCAUAUCACAGUUCUAGACUGGCUUCUGUGAAGUGGAAGUUAAAAGAAAACUUUUGUAACAUUAAAUGGGUCAUACUGAAAUAUUUUAAUGUGGUGAUCUUUUUAUGUAUAUUGUAUUAUUUAUUUAUUCAGUACUUUAUAUUUUCAGAAGUAUAGCACAGAGCCCAAAAUUGAACUGUAGUUGGUAAUUGCCAAUUAACUGAUUUAGCCUAUGUUAGGUGAGAAAAAUCUUUAAUUAGGGUUAGAUAGAAACCCUUCACCCAAAUAUCU
This 562-nucleotide long non-coding RNA is filed under the name Homo sapiens (human). RNAcentral's name for it is "HSALNT0077977". The record is from RNAcentral. Lineage: Eukaryota; Metazoa; Chordata; Mammalia; Primates; Hominidae.